Molecule: transfer RNA, 96 nt
Filed under: Candidatus Poribacteria bacterium
Lineage: Bacteria; Candidatus Poribacteria
Description: tRNA-Ser
Rfam family: tRNA
About the family: Transfer RNA (tRNA) molecules are approximately 80 nucleotides in length.
Source: RNAcentral
GGAGAGGUGGCUGAGCUCGGUUGAAAGCGGCCGACUCGAAAUCGGCUAGGUGGGCUAAAACCCGCCUCGGGGGUUCAAAUCCCUCCCUCUCCGCCA